Molecule: long non-coding RNA, 205 nt
Filed under: Brassica rapa (field mustard)
Lineage: Eukaryota; Viridiplantae; Streptophyta; Magnoliopsida; Brassicales; Brassicaceae
Description: long non-coding RNA (BRAP_LNC004204)
Source: RNAcentral
UUAUAUCAAAACACAGAACUAAUAUAAAUUCAAAUACUUUCAAAAUCAAAAGACCCAAUGUGUAACCAAAGUGGCAUGAUCAUGUUAGAACCUGUCAAAGAAGUGAUCCAGACUGUGGUACUGAGGAUCCUUGCUGUGAUUCCCAGAGCGCACCACCUGUCCUUUAAAAAAGUUUCAUGACUCAUAACUUUGGUUAUCUGCAAGC